Molecule: long non-coding RNA, 1518 nt
Organism: Amphiprion ocellaris (clown anemonefish)
Lineage: Eukaryota; Metazoa; Chordata; Actinopteri; Pomacentridae
Source: Ensembl
AGAAGGAGCGAUGCUAAAGUUUUCCGUCUCCGUUGUUGACUGUGUUUGUUUUGUAACUCUAGUAGCUACGGAGAGCAUUUUACUUCUUAAAGUUAAGUUUAGUUAGUUUCUGAAUAAAGCAGCAGCCUGUUAAAAAGACGUUCAGUUUAAAGAUCACCUGUCAGAGUUUCGUUCUUGCGAUGUCCAUCUUGUCCUGGAUUUUUAAGGGAAGCCACGCCUCCAGAGCAGCUCUUUUUAUGAUUGGAUAAUAGAUGUGGCCAGUUUAAGCUGGAAAGACAAGCCCUCUUCCCUAUUUAUAAGAGUGUCCUGGGGGAGAAAAUGGUUUGUUCAGAAGGUAAAAGUGUGGUACAGGUAACUGUGUGAUGCAGCUACCUGCAACAGACUUGGCAGCAGAAUUCAGAAGAGGUCGUUCAACAGGAAUAAAACCCUUUACAGACACUGAGGAUGGAAAUGCUGAAGGAAAAGUGGAGUUUGAGCCAAAAGUGGUUAGAGAUCUGAAAGCCGACAUCUGUCUGAACGAGAUAUUUUUGAAGCGAUGGGAAUGUUUAUGCACCAGAAUAAACACAGAAGUGAUACUUUCUCAACAGAUUAAACACCUAAGAACAGCUCUCUGCCUGUGGAUCUGCUGCCUGUGGAUGUGCUGCCUGUGGAUCUGCUACCUGUGGAGCUUCAGCCUGUGGAGCUUCAGCCUGUGGAGCUUCAGCCUGUGGAUCUGCUGCCUGUGGAGCUUCAGCCUGUGGAGCUUCAGCCUGUGGAGCUUCAGCCUGUGGAGCUUCAGCCGUGUGCUUCUGGGCUUUUCAGUUGUGGUUUGUUGUGCACUUUUUGGAUUGGUUGGCUACAAUAAACUAACUUUUAGACACCACACUGCGUUUGUCUCCCUGCUUUGUUGCAGGCUAUGAGCCAAGCUGUAACAAAAAGGAGAUUUAAAUUUAAUUUUAAUAGUUUUAUCUGAGAUUCAAUCUGGUCAUCAGGGGGUGGGACAAGAGAGAAAUGGCAUUUUAGGGGAACUCUAGACCUAUUUGGUAUUUUAAAAAAUAUUUUCAAACAUUAUUUUCUCCUAGUUUUUUUUAGAUUUGGUCUCAGGACAAGUCAAUUUACACAACAACUGCAUAUUUUAGUAAUUUGUUCAUGGUCUAUUUGAAAUUUCAUGGGUGGGACGUAAAAUGCCCUCCAAUUCUGGAAUGACCCGUUUAGUUUUUUGAGCUUCUUUGUGUUUGUUUCUGACUUCAGUUUAUGAAAUGCUUUGGUUAACCCUUACCUCACCUGUUCAUGACCUGCAUACCUUUACGAGUCUGUAAAUUCAUUACGCCUCAUCUGUAUGCAAAAUGUAAACAUAACCUUAUAUCUUUAUUGCAGUUUUGUAUUUUUUGACUUGCUUUCCCCAUUCUGUGUUUGCAUUUAGCUGCUGUAACAUGUAAAUUUCCCCAGUGAGGGAACAAUGAAGUUUAUUUUGUCUUAACAGCCAAGGUACAGAUGCAGGUGUUGCACAACUGUGAUGAAUGCAAAUGUUACUGUUUC